GAUGAACGCUGGCGGCGUGCCUAAUACAUGCAAGUCGAGCGGACGGACGAGAAGCUUGCUUCUCUGAUGUUAGCGGCGGACGGGUGAGUAACACGUGGAUAACCUACCUAUAAUACUGGGAUAACUUCGGGAAACCGGAGCUAAUACCGGAUAAUAUUUUGAACCGCAUGGUUCAAAAGUGAAAGACGGUCUUGCUGUCACUUAUAGAUGGAUCCGCGCUGCAUUAGCUAGUUGGUAAGGUAACGGCUUACCAAGGCGACGAUGCAUAGCCGACCUGAGAGGGUGAUCGGCCACACGGGAACUGAGGCACGGUCCAGACUCCUACGGGAGGCAGCAGUAGGGAAUCUUCCGCAAUGGGCGAAAGCCUGACGGAGCAACGCCGCGUGAGUGAUGAAGGUCUUCGGAUCGUAAAACUCUGUUAUUAGGGAAGAACAUAUGUGUAAGUAAAUGUGCACAUCUUGACGGUACCUAAUCAGAAAGCCACGGCUAACUACGUG
RNAcentral lists this ribosomal RNA (497 nucleotides) under uncultured bacterium. RNAcentral's name for it is "partial 16S ribosomal RNA". It matches the Rfam family "Bacterial small subunit ribosomal RNA", at positions 28 to 507 of the family's 1533-position model. The record is from RNAcentral.